This 373-nucleotide ribosomal RNA is filed under the name uncultured bacterium. RNAcentral's name for it is "bacterial SSU rRNA". It matches the Rfam family "Bacterial small subunit ribosomal RNA", at positions 527 to 898 of the family's 1533-position model. The record is from RNAcentral.
GAAGGGUGCAAGCGUUACUCGGAAUUACUGGGCGUAAAGCGUGCGUAGGUGGUUCGUUAAGUCUGAUGUGAAAGCCCUGGGCUCAACCUGGGAAUGGCAUUGGAUACUGGCGACCUAGAGUGCGGUAGAGGGGUGUGGAAUUCCCGGUGUAGCAGUGAAAUGCGUAGAUAUCGGGAGGAACAUCUGUGGCGAAGGCGACACCCUGGACCAGCACUGACACUGAGGCACGAAAGCGUGGGGAGCAAACAGGAUUAGAUACCCUGGUAGUCCACGCCCUAAACGAUGCGAACUGGAUGUUGGGUGCAACUUGGCACUCAGUAUCGAAGCUAACGCGUUAAGUUCGCCGCCUGGGAAGUACGGUCGCAAGACUGAA